AUUGAACGCUGGCGGCAGGCCUAACACAUGCAAGUCGAGCGAGCGGCGGACGGGUGAGUAAUGUCUGGGAAACAGCCUGAUGGAGGGGGAUAACUACUGGAAACGGUAGCUAAUACCGCAUACCAUCAGAUGUGCCCAGAGGGGAUGAGCUAGUAGGUGGGGUACCGGCUCACCUAGGCGACGCUCCCUAGCUGGUCUGCGAGGAUGACCAGCCACACUGGAAAUGAGAUGCGGUCCAGACUCCUACGGGAGGUAGCAGGGGGGAAUAUUGCACAAUGUGCGCAAGCCUGACGCAGCCAUGCCGCGUGUGUGAAGAAGGCCCUCGGGUUGUAAAGCACUUUCAGCGGGGAGGCGUUACCCGCAGAAGAAGCACCGGCUAACUCCGUGCCAGCCGCCGCGGUAAUGC
This 406-nucleotide ribosomal RNA is filed under the name uncultured bacterium. Its description in RNAcentral is "partial 16S ribosomal RNA". It matches the Rfam family "Bacterial small subunit ribosomal RNA", at positions 29 to 526 of the family's 1533-position model. The record is from RNAcentral.